GGAUCAUGAAUACACAGUCACUGGAACAAGUGGCAGAGAAAGUAGUAGUCGUAGUCGACGGAUAAAAACAAUUGCACUGUGGAAAAGUGGAAGACUACCGGUACUUUUCGCCCCCAAUAACAAUGUGCGAUGCCAAAUAACGUGACGAUUAUUUUGUGAUUUUUAUUUGUAUCUCUCUAUUCAAAACAGCCUGAAAGUGACGAGAAGAGUCGGUCUGGUGGAUUAACACCACCACUGCGCAGCUGUUUGUAAACUCUUCGCACCGGCUUUAGGACACUAAAUUACGAAAAGGUAAACAAGUCAUGUUUUAUUUCUAAUCAACUUUCUGGCCAAAAAAACAAUACAAUACAAAAUAAACGAACCCGAUGUUGAAACUGAAACAUUGAAGCACCUUUGUGUGUGUUAUUUUGUGUUUCUUGGGUGAUAUUGAAGCAGCGGCAACAAUCAUAAUUGGAUCAAGUUACAUUCGCAGAAUGACAUGUGGAUGGCUGAUAGGUGGGUGACGUCACUGCAACAUGUCACAUGGCUGUGCAUGGUGGCAAAAUGCAAUGGGAGUUUAGCGAAGAAAAAAAAAAGAAGAGGAGUUAAGGAUCGAAACAAAGGAAGGGAUGCAUUGAAAGGAAUAAGAUGCAGGAUAGAAAUACCACACAACUCAAUGCUGACACCAGUUUGUCCAUUUCCAAACCUGGUAUUUGCACAAAUAAAUAAAUUAGAUAGAUAGAUAGAUAGAUUGGACUGGCGUUUUUUUUUUUUCGGGGGUCAUACAUCAAAAUUUUCUCCAGGAUACAUGCUUUUUCGGGUCCCCUAAAAAAGGUGAUUCAUUCGUCAAAAGAAUAAUGAUGAAAACAUAUUACAAGAGGGCCUCAUAACAUUAAUAGGGGUUGGGGGGGUA
Long non-coding RNA from Hippocampus comes (tiger tail seahorse), 892 nucleotides. RefSeq lists it as uncharacterized. The record is from RefSeq and is a predicted model, not a curated record. Lineage: Eukaryota; Metazoa; Chordata; Actinopteri; Syngnathiformes; Syngnathidae. The transcript is spliced from 2 exons.